Molecule: ribosomal RNA, 333 nt
Filed under: uncultured bacterium
Lineage: Bacteria
Description: partial 16S ribosomal RNA
Rfam family: Bacterial small subunit ribosomal RNA
Source: RNAcentral
CCUACGGGCGACAGCAGUCGAGAAUCAUUCACAAUGGGGGAAACCCUGAUGGGGCGACGCCGCGUGGGGGAAUGAAGGUCUGCGGAUUGUAAACCCCUGUCAUGUGGGAGCAAAUUAAAAAGAUAGUACCACAAGAGGAAGAGACGGCGAACUCUGUGCCAGCAGCCGCGGUAAGACAGAGGUCUCAAGCGUUGUUCGGAAUCACUGGGCGUAAAGCGUGCGUAGGCUGUUUCGUAAGUCGUGUGUGAAAGGCGCGGGCUCAACCCGCGGACGGCACAUGAGACGGCGAGACGAGGGUAAUGGAUGGGGAACCGGCAUUCUCGGUGUAGCCGU